Molecule: non-coding RNA, 449 nt
Organism: Marmota flaviventris (yellow-bellied marmot)
Lineage: Eukaryota; Metazoa; Chordata; Mammalia; Rodentia; Sciuridae
Source: RefSeq, a predicted model, not a curated record
CCCAGCUGAAGAGGCCGGCAGGCAGCCAGGAUGGGACACAGCUCACAAGAUCCCCACCUCUGCUGGACCACCAGGCUCCUGGGAGUCAUUAGCCUUCUCUGAAGUGGCAGUCUGGGCAGGCUGGCUGUCCAACCCUGGGCGAGCCAGAAGUCUCAGCUGUGCUCAGCCACUCCAAGGGGACACUGUCCCUGCAGGGGGGACAGUUGGAGGAUGAGACUCCAGCAGCUGCUCAGGCCCUGGAGGGACCAGGAAAGCCCUGGCUGGACCUUGACACCUACAGGCACCAAGGAGAUUGAAGCCACAGGAUGUGUGACUCCUGCAUCCCAUCCCUGUACUCAGGAGGAGACCCCCGAGAGGGGCAGCUGGAGGGGAGGAAGGAAACCAGCCUGGAACUGGGAAUGUAUGGUUCUGACCCGGGGGUGCUGGGCCAGUAAUGCCCAUCAAGAUAA